AUGAAUCAAAACCCUGGAAUAAACCAGCGGUUCAAUGAAGCAAUGGCCAGUGACACUGAAAUACUGACAAGCUUUGUUGUCAAAGCCGCGUGCAAGCAAAUCUUUGAAGGGUUGGGCUCAUUGGUUGACGUAGGAGGUGGCAACGGAUCGCUUUCCAGAAUCAUCUCUGAAGCAUUCCCUGGCAUCAAAUGCACUGUACUCGACCUCCCGCAUGUUGUUGCUAACCUGCCUGAGGCCGACAACUUGAAAUACAUAGCAGGUGACAUGUUUCAGUUUAUCCCUCCGGCAGAUGCCUUUCUCUUCAAGGUAAGAUCCAAUUUUAAAAAUUUAAAACAACUUCUUAACCGUUUUCGUAAAUACCAGAUGAUUUAUUUCAAUUGUUCUGUGUGCAGCACACAUAUCCGGACGUUAGAAUCUUACAAAAUCAGGAUUUGAAUGAUCCAAAUCAGAUUUAAAGUAAAAGCAAAAUGCUACACAACUCUAAAUUUAAUUAACAUUUGGAUUUUACAGAAUCUAGAAGUUUAGGCUUUAGCAUGAUCAUUUACGUAGUCAUUCUCUAGUGCGGUUACCCUCAUUUUUUCGAGUGUAGAUUCGAAGUUUACCAUAUUGGUAAAGGCUUGUAUAACAUUGAAACUUAUUUUUUCAUAACUUAUAUGUAUAUGUAUUUAUAUGUGCGUGUGUGUGUUUAUAGGCGGAGUAGUAAAGCGUUUUAUCUACAACACUAUAAAAUUAUUUUACAAUAUUUAAAACAACCAAUCUGCAUUCUAAAAAGUAUGAUUUGUGUAUGUGUGCGCGCAUAGAUAGAUAGAUAGAUAGAUAGACACACGCACGAACUGAGAUUUUAUUAAAAGGAAAAGUUAUAUUUUAACUAAAAUGUCAGAUCAAACAACAGAACUGCACUAUAAGUAGUGGAUAUUAAUUAAAUGAGUGAUUGGCAUGGUUGCAGUUGAUUUUUCAUGGAUUAGGUGAUGAGGAUGGGUUGAAGAUACUGAAGAAACGCAGAGAAGCAAUUGCAAGCAAUGGUAAGAGAGGAAAGGUCAUAAUAAUAGAUAUUGUUAUCAAUGCAGAGGAAGAGGAACGCGAAUUAACCGAAACAAAGUUCUUGUUUGACAUUUUGAUGAGCGUUAACGCUAAUGGAAAAGAGAGAACUGAAAGUGAAUGGGCAAAGCUAUUCUCCGACGCUGGUUUCAGUCACUACAAAAUAACACCUAUAUUUGGCAUGAGAUCCCUCAUUGAAGUCUAUCCAUAAAGAAUUGAGUAACCGUAUUCCCGCAAGUCUCUUGUACUGCUUGAUGGAAUAGCAAAGUUUCGUUCAAGAUGUAUGCGUAGUAGUUGAAAUGUCUCGUAAUGACUAGAAAAUGAGGUGACACACGGGUUUGAAUAUAGGAUGAGUCACUCAAUUAAAAUGCUAUAGUCUUUUGGUAUGGAAACUUAAAUAUCCUAGACCACCCUUUAAUAUAUUAAGAAUAAAGGAUUAGUGUGUACCGUGUUAUAUUGCAUUUUUAUAUUGUUUCCAGCAUCUGCUCUUAUGUUUUAUCUUUACUAAUUAAAUUAAAUUACGAUCUUUCUUAAGUUAUUGUGUUCCCAAAACAAGUAACUGCAAAAUAAUUUAUAUUGUUACUUUGGAUAUCUUCAAUUAGGUUGUACAUUAAUGAUAAAUGAUUCAAAAUUUAUAUUUGCAAUGUAAGUAAAAAAUAAUAAUAAUUUGUAAAAAAAUUUAAAAAGCAAAAAUCACUACUAGAAAAAUGGCUUUUACUGACACUCGUCUUCUGACACUUUUCUAAAAAGUAUCAGUAGUUACAUAUAUUUGGGUCAUUUUCCGUGUUUAACAGACAAAUGUCACAAGUUACUAAUUCUAUAGUGUUUGUAGAUUAAACAUCAGAGAUUAUCGACACUAUGGUAUCAUAAACAACAAAAAAAAAAGUCUAUUUUUGUUUUAAUUGCUACUCGAACCUAAGACCUCAAAACUGGAGUGCUUUAUGUUCAAACAACAAACCACCAGGCCAAAUUCGUAUUUUAGUUUAUGUUGAAAAUGUUCAAAUUAUCAUAUUAAAAUAACAACAAUAUAAAGCAAAAGCAAAAAACCCUAAAAUCAACAUAAACAUAAAAUUCUCUAACUUCUAAUUCUAUGGCCAGCCGCCUCAUCUCUCUGGCAAGAUCCUUCUUCUUCUUCGUACCUCUAAAAAUUCUCCCCUUCGAGCCCUAAAAUUCAAGGGUCCAUGCCAUGGGAAAUCCUAACAACAUUGCUCAAAUUCUAAGACCCAUACCAUACGAAACCCUAACGAGCUACAUGAGGUUGCGAAACAUCCACCAUGCCACUAAAGACCCAUAUAUAUAUAUUUUUUUUCGUCUCGCAAGUCACCUGCGACUGAGUCUCGCUGUCUCAAGCGUUGAUUAAUGGCGGCCUCCGUUGCACGAUCACAGCUGACCCCACUUUCGCGACAGAUCACUGCUAAACCCUCUCAGUCGGAUCAAACACCAAAAUGCAUCGUCAGAUUCCGUCUGCUUAACAUCCCACGGUGGUUUAACGUUACCGUUAAGGCCUCUAUUAACAGAAACGAUGAGAAAAUCGGCUAUAACAAUAACAAAACCGCUCUGGCGCUUCACCGGCAGAGCAUUCUCGAUGAUGAUGAAGAGGACGCCGCUUCGAAGGAUUUGUUGAAUUCGCUUCCCCGUAUGAGAAAUAUCCAUCUUGUCCUUCUCCUUUAUUCGCUUUUAUUUGAUUUUAUUCUCUCUCGCUCUCUUUCUUUUUUUAAUUAUUGUAUAGGUUUGGUUUGUGUUUCAGGGCCUUUGUCUUCGGCUCAGUUUUCAAAUUUUGUAUCCGACGGGUCCCGCCUUCGAGUUGCGUACCAGGUAUUUGUUUCAUUUCCGCAAAACCGCAGCUACUUAUGUAUAAUUUUGAAAAUUUUAUGAUUUGAUGAGAUUUUGUAAAUAUUUGAUUGAUAAUUAUAAUUGAAGGGAGUUCGUGGAGCUUACAGCUACUUCAGUGUGUUUCCUUGCUUAUGCUGGUAUCUUUUUUUUUUCCCCUUGAUGGUAUGUUGGUUAACUGGGUGUUAAGAAAUAAGAAGUAUAUUUAUGUUUUUUUCUUUCUAAUAUUAUUUUUUUAGAAGCUCUAUUUAUUCUCUUUCACUUUGGAAAAAUCAAUCAAUGAUCUUUAGAACUAACAUAGAUGGGUUUUCAUGGGCUCUUUCCAUGGGAAGCGCAAGUUUGUUUUCUGGUUGCAAGAUCUGUCAAUGGAAUAUUUGUAGAGAUGCAUGUGGUACAGUUAAAAUGUUACAUGCCCUCACUUCCUGAUAGCUUUAUCAUUAUGUUGGUGGUGCUGUUAAGGAUUUAGGCAUAGCUACUUGAAUUUUAAUUUUGGAGGCUGUUCUGUUAAUAUUUUGGUUUAGUUAAUAAUUGAAAUUCAGACUACCAUGAAAAGAAGUUGAAUUGUAUUACAUAACUUACUCAAGUCUGUAACAUUGCCAUGGCUAAAUAGAAAUUUCACUUUCCUUGCCAAGUGAAAGAAAGGAGGAAUUUUGAUGUAAUCAAUGCUUGGUAAGGUCUAGACAGUAGUAUCAAUCAUACUUCCUAUGUACAAAAUUUUCUUCACUUGGUGUUGGAAGCAAUUGUUAUUGUUGCAGUCCUGUUUUAUUUAUACAUAGAGCAGGUUCAGGAUUGAGAUGUUGUUAAUAUUUUCGUUUAGUUAAUUAUUGAAAUUCAUAUUCUUGUCUUAAGAACCAGUUUCAAUGACUUUGUUUGAAUGUUCAAAUAUUUGUGCAGGGUGGUAUGCGAGUUUAAAUUUUUGAGCAUGACACAUCACCACCAGGUAUCCGUAUGCUCUAAACCUUCUGUAUAUAUUUCUCAACUUUUGAUGAGCUUACAAAGCAUGGACUCUGUAUUCUGAUUGCUGCAUGUUUCUACUCUUUCUUCUUUUGUUUUAAAGCAUGAACUCAGUAUUCUGAUUGCUGCAUGUUUCUACUCUUUCUUCCAUGUGCAAAGGAAGGAUUAUAAGCCAAUAUUCAUAAAAAUAACCAUUCCAUAGUCAAAUUAUAAGUUAUAAAGUUUAAGUAAAUAGAUUUCACAAUAAUUUGUAUGCAACCGUAACUGCAAUUGUGGGAAAUAAAUUAGGAUAAAUAUCAUCUCAACCAUAACUGCCAUUGGAUUAAUUAUAGUCAUAUUAUAAGUUAUAAAGUUCAAUUUAAUGGUAAUUACGUCAUUUUUUUAUUUUUGUUAAAUCAAGUUUUUUUUUUUUAUGUUUGAGUUUUGUGUUGUGAAUUUGAUAAAAGUUUAUUUCUGUUAACCAUUUUUUCUCUCACAUGGUUGGAAAUUAACAUGCAAUUUUUUUUCCCUUUUCCAUGUAUUCAUUUGCAGAUUUGAUCAAUGUGUUUGAAGUUUCUUUUUUCUCAACUUCACUUGUAUUCUAACCCAUCCACUAUUGAAUGGAGAAUGGAGAAGCUACUGUUGUGUUAACGUAAUUGCACUACUUAUGUUCAAAUAGUGGAGGCAAUCAUCCUUUUCAUUUUAGCUUCUAGAAAUGUUAAAUUUAGCCACAACUAGUAGGCAUCUGAUUGGAUGUGGCAGAAAUUUUUAUGUAUGUAAUUUAGAUUAUUCAGUUAUGAGAGUGAGAUUUCGCAUCUCUUGUUUGUUGGAGUGUUGGAAUUUGUAAUGUGUACUAAUAAUAUUUAAAUAUGAAAUGAAAGAUUUUAUAAUAUAAAUUAAGCUUUUUUGGUUACUUUGUGGUGUUUUUUAAUUUCACCAAUAAAUCAAUACGCAAUGAGCUAAUUCAAAUUUUUAUUUUUUUAAAUAAAUUAAAUAGUGAUACUAUAGUAACAGUAAUUAUAGACACUAAUGUGAUAUCAAUAAUUACUAAUACUAUGGUGUUAUGAUUUUAGUGAUACUAUAGUAAUAGUAAUCACUGACACCACUUACAAGUGUCACAAUUUUUCUGACUCCCAGAUUACUGACACAAUUAAUAAGUGUCACUAAAAGUAAUUACUGACACCAUUCUAAUGUCAGUAAAGACCAUUUUUCUAGUAGUGAAUAACCUAUUCAAAUUAAUGAGUAAUAUUACUAUUCAAAAUUAAUAUUUCAAAAGUAUAACAUCCCCACGAUUCUUCUAAGCCAAUCAGAAACAUCAUUGGCUAAGAUUGUUUGAUGUAAGCCAAAAUUGAAGUUUAAUUAUUUUAUUUAGUAUUUUAAUUUUUUCAAGCAGAAUUUAUAAUUGGACUUGUAUUUGGGGUGCAUGGAUUCUGUUUUCCGGUUUACUAUUAGAAAGAUUAUGUCACGGGCUUAAUAAUUUAUCAUUAAAAUCCUUAUUUUAUGCGAGGGUUUUAUCUAUCUUGAUCACAUUUCCACUAUGUUAUUACAAAAAUCUUCAAUUAACAUGCAGUAUAAUAUCCAAGUCAACUCAAUCAAGUGAAGCUAAUUAAAACUGAGGAUCAAAUAGCACAAUCAACCUUACAUAACAAGCAAGAAUAAUGGAAGCCAUGAAUUAAUCACUAGCCGUUAGACCUCUAUUCGUUUCUUUUAAUUUAACUAGGUGGAAGCCAAGAAUCUUGGGCAAAACACUAUGCCCCAUAUUGUCUAUGCAUCCAACGAUUCGUCAAUGAAACUUUUUUUUUAUGGUAUCACAGCCAAUCUUGAGAGUCACAGACAUGCAUGGUUAUUAUGUUUCAAUGAAAAAGAGUUUGCCACUAGUGAACCUCUUAAGAAAGUUGGCUUGCUUGAAUGUAGAUCAGUAUACAAAAGAAAUUCGAAGCUAUUUUUGAUUGUUUGGCUGCCGUCAAGAAACCAGUGGAAGAUGUCGAUAAACAGUGGCAAUUGGCACGUGGACUUGGACCAGACUUGAGACCUGAAGGUAGCGAUGCUGGGAAAACCUCCAUACGGUCAAUUUGGUCCUUUUAAGGUUCAAAAAGUUGAAUUAAUUUUCUUGUAAUGCAAGCUAGUAUCUAAGAUGGUCAAUGGAUCUAGAGAUGGUGGAAAUAAAAAAACACUUAAAGAAAGAUGUAAUUGAUUGAUUAUGUUAACUGCUAGCUCAUUUGUAAAUUUGAAAGAUAACGAAGACUCUAUUGUAAUUCACCCCAUUAAGUGCAGUGUGAUUAUACAAAGAGUAGUAUUAGGCAUCUUGAAAUUUUACCUCAAAUGAUAUGAUAUUCAUAACGAUGGCAUAGUUUAAUUAACUCACGUAAUAUUUGUGAAUAACAUGUUACAUACCAUGCAUAUCACAUAAUAUUUCAGUGUGAAUAUUAUUUUCUCUUUAAUGAUAAAUUGUAUUGUGGGCAUUUAAAUAUACAAUAUUGUAAAAUUUAACUAAAGAGUUGGUGUAACCAAAUAUUUUGAUAAGGAUAUCUAAUGAAAUUUCAAAUAAAUUUCAUUUUGAUCUUAAAUUCCAAGCGACCUGCAGAAUAUAUACACUACGAUUUAUUCAGAGCAAUCCGAAAACGAAAUAGUAUGAGCUUCAGUUUGAUUAAAUAUUUUUCCCAAUACAUUCAGAUUUCAGAAAGUUUCAAAAGAAAGCUGAAAAAAUAUAUCAAUAAUUGAAAUGAAAAAAGUUAGAAGGAGGUAUCUAAAAGUCAAUUUCAACGCCAAUGAUGUGUAAUUCCACAUGAGUAAACUAAUUAAUUGCCAUGAGAAAACGAAACGAAAAGAAAAGAAAGGUGCGUAAAAUUUAAUUUGACAAUAACAGCUACGUUCUCCAACCGCCCCCCCCCCCCCCCCCCCCCCCCAACACCAAAAAAAGGCAUAAAUUUCGUUUGACAAUGAUGUCCUGAUAUCCAUGACGUCAACUUGGGAAAGGAAAAAAAAAAAAUUUCAUCAUAAAGAAAUUUCAUUUGACAUAUUAUCAUUUAUCUUGCUUCGCUUGGUAUCAUUUGUGCAUUUUAUUGUCUUUGAAGCAUAUAUAUUUUUUAGUUUGGUACUAUGUUGGUGUUAUUUUAAUUUAUAUAUUAAGAAACGUGAUUGUUAUAUGGAAGAAAUAUUUUGCUGAAAUAAUGGGAUUCAUUCUAAACCUAGACAUUGACUAACUAGCCGUACACUACAAGAAAAUGAGACAUUUCCAAGAAAUAAAAGAAAAUGAGACAUUUCCAAGAAAUAAAAGAUACACUGUCGGAAAUAGACUUAUUUUCACUACAAGAAAAAAUAGAAUACUUGACAUUUUUUAUUUGAUAAUUUUUAAGAAAUAUCAAAUAAAUAUGAUAUUUUGUGAAAAAUUGAGUAAUUGUGAAAUAUAAAUGACAAUUUAUUUAAACGUCAAAUACUUAUGACGUUUUACCAAAUAAGUGGAAAUAUAUUAUAUAUUUAUUGAAUAAUUACCAUUUACGUUUUCCUUUUAUUGACUUAAGAAAAAAACAAAAAACGCACAUGUUGUGGACCUGUAAUUGAUAUGGUAUUAAGUCCAGAUGCCCAUCUUGCCCGUCUUCCAAGAAUUUCAGCUUGCUUUAGCCUAGUGAGCUUGUUUCGUUCACAUAUCACAUUUGGAAUGCCUUUGUUUCUUUUAAGAAAAUUCAAACUUGUAUUUCUUUUCAAUAAUCACCUCGCAUUUUUUAUCAAUCACUCAAUUUCAAAUUUCAUCUCCAUCCUCUCUCGAAGAAGAACGCACAAAGAAUUUCAGCUUGCUUUAGCCUCAUUUGCUUCUCGAAUUUCAGGUAUUGUUUCCUUUAAUUUUUAUAAUUUUUUUCUACUUCUCUCUUUCUGGUUUGAUAAUUUUAGGGUUAUAGUUGAAUUAUUUGUAUUUUUAAACAAUCUAGGGUUGAUUUAAUUGAUUCCAAGUGUCGUAUCUGCUCUGCUAUUUGAAUGCACAUUACUUGUUUGAUGAAAUGUCUCUUUAAAAGAUUAUUUUUGUUUUUAACAAGCAUCUUAUUGAGAUGUUUCUCGUAAUAUAUUAACGUAAUGCACUUAGCUUCAUUUUGGUCUGUUUAAUACAUUUUAACAAAGGAAAUUUACAGAACUGCAACAAUUCUCAAAUUGCUUGCAAAUUGGAAGUAAUGUUAUUGAUUUUUAUUAAUUAAUGAGAUUUUAAUUUAUCUUCUUACCAUAUAAUCCUAGGUUAGUUAUUUUGUUGCUUUAAAUAUCUUUGUUUAUCUACUUAGUUUUUACUUUUUAAUUAGUAUUUUUUUCUAACUCUUUAUUCAUUUGUUAAUAGUUGUCAUUGGAUCUUGCUUGUGAUCGACUUGCCCUCAAUGGUUGUUCAUUAUUUGAAUUCAGUGAGAAAUGAAAUCAGUGUUGAUAUAAAAAAAAAUUGUAACUGUGUAAGUAUAUUAAAGAUAUUUAGCUAUAAGUGUACUAGUGGUUUUUGCUAUAGAUAUAAUUAUUGAGUUUAAUAUUUCGUAUUUGAUUUGUAUUUUUUUGUAGUGGGAUUCGAAUGUUUCUUGCCAAAAAAGGACAGCAAAUGAAAAAGAUUAAUUUGAAAUGGAAUGAUGUUAAGGUGCCUAUGCAAAUUGGUAAUGUUGAAUGCGGCUACUAUGUCAUGUGAUUCAUGAAGGAGAUUAUUGCAGAUCAAAGUAUACUUUGUGCAAAGGUUAGAUCAUUAACAUAGCUUAAACUUAUUGCAGAUUUUACAGAGAAAUGUGGUUAAAAUGAAGCCUAUGAAUUGAAGGAGUGACAAAUAAAUAUAGUUUUCUGUCUUUUGAUGUCAGUUUAAUGAAAAAGAUACUUAUAAUAAAGAUGAGAUCAACGAAAUUCGCUCUGAUUGGACCACUUAUGUUAGUGACUUGAUUUGAAAAAAAAUGCAAAAGAGACAAGUAAUGCAGGUAAAUAGCAUACGAUUCAAUUGAAGUACAUUAGUUUAUUGUUAAUAUUUUUCAUGCAUAGAUUUUUCCUUCUCUUUGUGCAUAGAUAUCUUAUGCUUUCAUUGCAUAAGGCAACUAUAUCAUCUAGUUGGAUUCAUAAUAAAAGCUCUCAGUUAAUUCAAUCAAAAUUUGUCAAUGCCUUACUGGUAACCAUGACUUACUUUUUUAGCCUCUUCCUUAAACAAUAACAGUAGUAUAUGGCAGUAAUUUUGGUUUCUUGAUGUGUAGGGCUAUGUGGGAGUGUAGGUGGUGUUGGUGGGGGUGGCAUAUUUGUUCCUGUACUUAUCUGAUUAUUGGAUUUGAUCCAAAAUCAUCUGUAGCACUAUCAAAAUGUAAGUGAAACAAACCCCUCUUUUACAGAUACAAUCUUGGUUGUUCAAGACAAUCAUAUGCUUACUCUCACAGUCGUUUUAACCCUCAUGACUGAGCAGGUAUGAUCACUGGUACUGUGGUUGCUACUGUUGUCUACAAUCUAAGGCAAAGGCAUCCCACACUUGAUAUGCCCGUUAUCGACUAUGACCUUGCACUUUUGUUUCAACCCAUGUUGGUUCUGGGGAUCAGUAUUGGAGUUGCUUUUAAUGUGAUUUUAAGCACAGGAACACAUUUUCCUUUUGUACGUACAACGCUGCUAUGAAAAACAUUUGGACCGAUGGUGGAAUGCUAACUAUAGGCUCAAUGUAUAGUUUUAGAAACAAUCUUAUUUUAGAUUUAUACUUAAGACAUUUGAUACAUUUAUACAUACAAUGCAAGUUCAUUUUAAUAUGAAUUCAGGUUUCCUAUGCUUUAUUAUGGUGUUUGAAGUUAGUUGAAAAAUUUUGAAUUUUAUCAAGUUUCAAUGUUAUAAUAUAUAUUAUGUGCAGCCCAAGACAAGGAAUUAUAAUAUUUGAUAUUUUUAUCAAGUCAUUUGCAUUUGACCAUUUUGAAUAAUGUCACAUGUAUAUGACUAUUAUUAUGUGUCAUACACAUUUGACAAUCUUAUAUUGUGAAAAAUAUUUGAUUAUUAUUAAUUGACAAAAAUAAAUGACAAUUUUACUAAAUGUCAAAUAAGCAUAUUUGACACAGGAAUAUUUGGCACUUUUUAAUUGUCAAAUAUUCAUUUAUUUGACAGUUUUUAAAUAUCAAUUAUUCUCUUUUUUCUUAUAGUGUAUAUAAUUAAUUUGUUGUUUAAUGACCCCCAUUAUUUUAUAUAAUAACAUUAUUUUAUUAUUUUAUUAUUUUUAUUGUUGAAAUAUCUAUAUUAGGGAAGUAAUGUAACAAACAUAAUAAUAAUAUACGAAAUAUACUAAAUGUAAUUUCAUUAAUUUCAACAAUUUAUAAAAUCACAUUCAUCAUUCAAAAAUGCAACAAAAAUAUCAAUUUUAUAAUAUCUUUUACAGAAAAAAAAACCAAAUUAUAAACAAAAUGAUAUCACCAUAUCUUAGAUAUGUUCAAUCAUCCUCUAAAACAACUUGAGUUGCUGAAUCAUUUGCCUCAACUUCAUCAUCCUCAUACCCAUCAUCAUCUUCUCUCGUCAAAACAAUGUCCUAGGUGAAAGAAGGAAUUUUAAUCAUUAUUAUUACCAAAACAAGAACUUGUAUAAAACAUAAUCAAGAAGCUGAGACUAAUGAGAAAAAUAUUGUAAUAAAAACAAGUUUAUAUAGAUGCAUAGUCUCCAUUUCAAAAAAACUAAUAAUUAUUUCAUCAUUCACCUAUAUUAGAAGCUUGUCCAUAAUUACUUAAGUUCAUCAACUAAUAGAGCAAUGACAAGUCACCAAUCAUUUUUUGUGAGAACUCAAAGCAUAGAAAAAUUCAUUCACUUAAUCUAUUAAUAAAAUGAAAUAAACAAUCUAUACCUUACGACAUGAUUCUUGUACAGACUUUCCAAGAACAAGUUUUAUCAUUCUUUUCAACUUCUGGAUUCCUUUCUCUAAGUCUUUUACUUUUACUUCUAAAUUACUACAUUGAUGCUUGUUACGUCCUUGACUUGGAGAACCAUACACAUCCUUGCCUUUGAUGCCUGCUCCCUGACCAACAACACGACCAUGUGCUGCUUCUCUUGUCACUUCUUGAUAUAUUUUCCAUUCAUCCACUGGCAAGCCUUGAUCUACAACAGUGGAUCUCAUUGAUUCCAUUGUUUCCUAUAAUAAAUAAAUACAUUUGUGUGAGUGCAUAUAGUAAUGAAAUCAUGCAAAUAAAUCAGGAAUAUUAUGAAAAUUUAAUAUCAAAUACACACAUGCAUUUCCUUUGCCUUGUUACUUGCCAAUGUCCCCUUACAUGAAACAUCUUGAAUAAAUUAAGUGGCUUAAGUUCAGUACCUAUUUGUUACUGCAAUAAAGAAUUGAAAUUGAAUAUGAUCAUAAUAAAUAAACGCACUUCUUUUAUGAGCAAAGUCAAAUAUUUAUCUUCCCAUUUUCUUUUCUAUGCUUAGCCAUUGGGACGAACUUGUAGUAUGAAUAAGUUUGGACUUGGUUCAAUUCCUCUUGCUUGUUGUGCUUGUUUUCUAUAUAUAAGUUAAAAAAAAGCAUAAAAUCAACUUUGUUAUUCUAAAUCUAUUGUUGAGUACUAGAGAAUGCAUAUUUAUAGAGGGUAAAAUUGUCAUUUUAUGCUCGAAGUCUCACUAACAUUUUCACUUUUACGUGUUUAAAUUCUCUAAGCUUUUAUAAUCUGUGUUUUAUUAUAAUUUAAGUAUUUUAUGUAUUUCAGGGAUAUUUUAAUCAUUUCAUAACUAACGAGAAGUCAGACAGCAAAACGGAUGGCAUUUUUGAACUCAGAAUGGUUGAAAAUUUUAGGAGGAGUAUAAAUGAGUAUUCGACAUAUAUAUGGUACCGUUCAAAUAUAAGGUAAUAUUCACAAGUACAGCAUUGUUUCACAUAUACGAUAUGAUAAUGUGGCAUUGCAAUGAUGUAGCAGGAUGCUACUGGACCAAAAUACUGAUGUAGCAUUGGCUGAUGAUGUGGCAGCAUCUUAUGGGACCGAAAUGCUGAUGUGGUGUUGACUAAUGAUGUGUACCAACUAAUCAAAGCUUGCCAUGUGGCGCAAUCGUGAGCGUCCGAAUUGUUUUCAUCUGAUGGCCACGAUUUACCCAUUGUAUAUGUAAUAGAGGGCUCCUCAGCCUAAUUUAACACCCUUGAAUUCAUUUUCGAGCUCCAUUUUCUAUAAUUCUCUCACCAUCUUGUAUUUUCUACAUAUUUUAAUAAAAUUAUCAGUUUACCCCUUAUUCAAUAAUAAGUGGCUAAUUUUGUUUCAAACUUGGGUUAAAGGUAAAAUCUCAACAUGAUCCAUGGGCUUAGGUAAAUUUAAUUUAUUUUUCUUUUUAUUUAUGUUGUUGUUUUGAUUCAUUGCCAUAAUAUAAGAAACUUUGCAUCUAAUAACUUUUCCAACCUUUUAUGAUGUAGAUUUUUCUGAAAGUUGAAUUGCAAUUCAAUGUUUGCUUAUCCAAUUAUUUAUUGGACAAAAAGGAAUUUAAAAAUAAAACUUUAGUCAUUUUAAAAGAAUCGAACAUGCUACCAACUCUCUUGUUAGAAGUUGUAAUUUAAUUUAUAGAUUCUAGGCUUCCAUGAACUUGUGAAGUAUUAAGUUAUUUCUACAGUAAAACACCCCUUGGUAAAUUGCAAGGGUUGUUUUCACUAUAGAACGACAAUAAGACAGCCUUUGUAGAUUUUUAGGGGCUUUUUGCUGUGUUCUAAAAUCAAAACAGCUCUUAGCAAUUCUUUGGACUAUUUUGUUUUGAAAACAUUUUGAAGAUUGUUGAGGAAAAAGGGAAAUAACAGCAUUAUUUUUUUAGGAGGCUUGAUGAUGAGUUUGAUAAAUUUUGCAAGUGUUACCAGACUAAAGUUAAAAAGUUUAUGUUGAGGCUAAAAGUUUAGGUGAGUAAAUGCACAUUUUGGUCCCUCUCGGGAUAAAAACUAAGAAAUUGGAAGGAGUUAUGCAGGAUUCUGUACAACAAGCCUAAAGAACAAAAGCAUGAAAGCAGGAUGAUUUUGAAAAUUCUUGAAUAGUAUAUAUCUCUAUUUGCUUUUAUACUAUAUCUGUGGCAUUAUUUUUGAAGUUUGACAAUAUUAAUCUUGCAAUUAAUACUUUAAUGCAAAGAAGGAAUACACUCAGGAUGAACUUAAUGAGGUUCUUUUGGAGUGGGCUAACCAUUUUUUUCCACAUCCUUGUCGCAUUUGCAAAUUGGUUAGUAUAAGUAUGAAACUAUAGAUGCACCUUGUUAUUAGUUGUUACAAUUUGUUGAAAUUAAAGUUGAAGUGUUAAACUAUAAUGGUUGUUGUUAAGGAUUGUAGUAUAGAUGAUAUGCAUUUGAUAAUAUUAGGUAUUUUGAUUGAUUUUGGUGUAGAUUGGGUUGCUGGGUAUAGGUCAGAGUGUUGCUGUGUAUAUUGCUAGAGUUAGAGCAUUGUCGCAAGAUGGUGGGUUGUUACGUAUGAUUUGGGGUAUUAGUUGGAGUGUUGCUGGGUAUGUGGCUGGAAUUAUGAUCAAGAUGCAUGAGCCUUAAGUGGGUGAAUUUGAGGCAGGAUUUUAAUGUUCACUGAAGCACUCAACUACUUACAACAACUCCUAAAUGCAUAUGAAGUAAUUACUGCCACAAUAAUGGAGGUAUCGUUCAAAUUUUUAUUUAGAGACAGUCAUCUGGGUUUCAACUAUAAAUAAAAUCUGCAUUUGCAUAUAGUCUCAGUGUCUCUAAUGGCUGAUAUUUAAAAACAAUGUCCAGCUCAGCUUAGGUGUUGAUGCAUUGACCAAUUAAAUCAACGAUAAAUAAAUUACUAGAAAGAUUAACAUUAUGAUAUUCUUGAAAACAAUCGUUUGAUGAUUAUAAAUCCAUUAGAGGUUUCAUUUCGACUGAUAGAGAUGUUUCCAAGGAAACAUAUUUAGGUUUUUUUUUUUUCCGUGAAAAUAAGUCCUGAAAAAGAACUUAGUACCUUCACUUUAGAAUUGACAUUUGUGGAUCAGGAAUUGGCUUGGAACGCAAGAGAGGGGUUUAGAUAAUUAGCACUCACAAAUAAUACAACUCGUAUUAUUGAAAAAAAAAAUAACUUGUAUUCUGAUUUUGAUUGUUUACAAAGUGUGAAUUUACAAAAGUUAUGUACAUAAUGAAAUAACUAGCUAUCAGAGAUUUAAUUACAUAACUACAUAAAUACAGCUGCAGUACAUAAUAUGCUUUCCUAAACUACAAAAUAGGUAAUAAAAUACUUUCUUUUUUGAGAUACAUGAUAUUAUAAAUUCUUGAUAGGUAAAUUCAAUGAUAACCUUGACUUGUGCAAGCUAUGUUGUGUGUUUUAACUGUUGGCAAAUUUUCUUUUAUUGACCAUUUACAGCUUGCUUAUUACUCCCCCUCAAGUUGGCAAGUGAUAUACGAUCUGGAUGCUAAGGUUUUGUCAAAAAUUGGGAAACAUGACUUUCGAGAGAGCUUUGGUGAAUACAUAGAUAAUUUCUAUGUAUGGCAAUGGGGAGGGGAGGGGAGGGGACCGACAUCCCCGCACCCAUCCCCGAUGUUAUUUAUAUAUCCCCGUCCCCAUUAGAAUUGCUUGAGGGGAUCCCCGUCCCCUCCCCGAAUAAUAAGAGGGGAUUCCUGAGGGGAGGGGACGGGGAUCACCAAGGAGUCCCGAAUCUCCGAAUAAGUAAUAUAUUUUUAUUUUUGAACUUGAUUUAAUCAUAUUAAAAUAAAAAUUUAAACAAAGGUAAGGUUUGACAAUAUAUCUUAGAUUAACAUGGUCGGGCAAUGAAUAACGUCAGAAGCGAAUUUAGAAGAUUAAAUCCACCCACAUUUGAAGGCAGUAUAGAUCCUAUCGUAGCAAACCAAUGGUUGCGAACCAUGGAAAGAAUGAUAGAAGUAUGCAAAGUACCAGAAUAAAAAAAAGGUCUCAUGUGUAUCCUUUAUGCUACGAGGAGCGGCAGAAUACUGGUGGGACUCAGUUAAACGAAUUUAAAAUGAAGCAAUAAUGCAAUGGGUGGAAUUUAAAGAACACUUCUAUAACAAAUACUUUUCAGAGAAUGUUCGCUCAGCCAAAAGAAGAGAGUUUGUUUAUUUAUAAUAAGGAAGUAUGUCUGUGCUAGAGUACAUCCGAAAAUUUGAUGAGCUCUCUCGAUAUGCUCCACAUAUGGUUGCAACGGAAGACUUGAAAAAUGACCACUUUAUGCAAGGAUUGCAUAAAAAUCUCACAAAAGACUUAAAGGUAGCUAGAGUUCAUGAUGCUUCCUUCAACGAUCUAAUCGAUCGAGCCUUGGUAAUUGAACAAGCAGAUGAAGAAAAGAAGGAAGAAAAACGAAGAAACAAAAGAAGUAUGGACCAGGGGAACUUUAUAAAACAACAGUCAAAUAAUAAUAAGAGAAAGGGAACCCAAUGGUCUAAGAUUAGAGUAAAAGCAAACGCCAAAGAAUCAUCAGAAGGAAGUCCUACAAAAACCAAAGUGCAAUCAAUACGGUAGAACUCACCUUGGACAAUGUUGAGCACAUACCAGAACAUAUUUCAAAUGUGGAAAGGAAGACACUUCAUUGGGGACUACUAGGAAAAUGGUACGCAACAAGAAAAGACUAAUGCUUGAGUAUUCACACUCACCGAGACGGAUGCAUAAGGAAACCUCUCAGUAAUAUCAGGUGAACUAUCUAACUCCAAAACUCAUGCAUAUGUGCUAAUAAACUCAGGAGCGACACAUUCAUUUGCCUCACCAGCAUUCAUUAAGAAAAUAAAAAAUGUCCCUGGCAUAAUAAAUAGGCCUUUUAGUGUCAUGGUAUCAUCUGGUGAAAUAUUGAAUUCAGGACAAUUAGUUAAGGCAUGUGAGGUUGGUAUUAGUGGUAAUACACUAUAUGUUGACCUAAUAAUUAUUAAGAUGCAUGACUAUGACAUAAUUCUUGGCAUGGAUUAGUUAUGGAAGCACUAUGCCAAGAUAUAUUGUAAGAAAAAGAAGGUAACUUUUCGACCAUCACAAAAGGAAUCGUUUACAUUUAAAGGAGAAUGCAAAGAGAACAAAAUGUCUAUCAUUUCUACAUUAAAAGAAGCCAGACUAUUAAAUGGAGGAUGUCCCCAAUGACUUGGCAUGUGAGGUCAUCAAAACAUAGGGUGCGUUUGGGAUUGAGGUUGGGCAGCUGUAGCUUAAAAGCUACAGCACUAAAGUGUUUGGUAAACACUAGCUGUUGUAGCUUUUAAGAUAUAUUGUUAUGAUUUUUCACUUGUAUAAUAUAAAAUUUAUUAUAUCUUUAAUAAUUUAAUCAAAAUUAUUAUUUAAAUUUUAUAUUUACUAUAUAUUAUUAACUUUUGUUUCAUAAUUACAGCUUUUUUUUCACAGCAGCUGUAGCUUAAAAGGUACAGCACCUCAAUCCCAAACGCACCCAUAAGAGCAAAGACCAAAUUUGAAAGAUAUUUCAAUGGUGAACGAAUUUCAUGAGGUCUUUCCUGAAAAACUCACAAGAUUGCCACCGAAUCGAGAAAUUGAAUUCAAAAUCGAUUUGCUAACAAGAACUGCUCCAAUUUCAAAGGCGCUUUAUGAGAUGUCCGCACCAGAACUAAAAGAAUUAAAGAGUCAAUUGCAAGAAUUACUAGACAUGCAAAUGUGAAGCACCAGUAUUGUUCAUAAAAAAGAAGGAUAGAUCAAUGCAAAUGUGCAUCGACUACUGAGAGCUGAACAAGGUGACUAUCAAGAACAAAUACCUGCUUGCAUGCAUUGAUGACUUGUUUGAUUAGUUGCAAGGAGCAGCGGUAUUUUUAAAGAUUAAUCUAUGAUCAGGAUAUCACCAGUUGAGAAUCAGGGAAGAAGAUAUUCUUAAAACAGUAUUCAGAAAACUUUAUGGACACUAUAAGUUUGUCAUAAUGCCAUUUGGUCUACCUAAUGCCCCAACAGCCUACAUGGACCUCAUGAACAUGGUAUUUAAAGACUACCUAGACAAAUUCAUAGUGGUAUUCAUUAAUGAUAUUUUAGUCUACUCACGAUCAAAGGAAGAACAUGUUAAGCACUUAAGGAUUUUUCUUCAGACCUUGAAAGAGAAACAACUUUAUGCAAAACUAAAAAAAUAUGAGUUUUAGCUUGAAAAAGUAACUUUCCUUGGACACAUUGUGUCUAAGGAUGGAAUUUUAGUAGACCCCUUAAAGGUGGAAGAUGUAAACCAAUUGUCUAGAUCGACUAAUGCCAAAAAAGUCAAAAGCUUCUUGGGUUUGGCUGGAUACUACCGAAGAUUUGUGGAAGGUUUCUCGAAGAUCGCAAUGCCACUGACCCAGUUAACAAAGAAAAAUACUAAGUUUCUAUGGACUCUAGAAUGCUUGAAAAGUUUUAAAGAACUAAAAAGACGACAAAUCACUACUCCAAUCCUAGCCGUUCCUAGUAGCUCUGAGGAAUUUGUCAUCUAUAGCGAUGCCUCUAAAAUGGCAUAGGAUGUGUCCUCAUGCAAAAUGGGAAAGUCAUUUCAUAUGCUUCCAGACAAUUGAAAGAAUAUGAGAAAAAUUAUCCAACGCAUGAUUUAGAGUUGGCAGUACUAAAAAUAUGGCAUUACUAUUUAAUGAGGGCGCAUUGUAAGAUUUACACUGAUCAUAAGAACCUCAAAUACUUCUUUACACAAAUGGAGUUAAAUAUACGACAAUUACGUUGGAUAGAGCUUGCCAAGGAUUACGAUUGUGAAAUAAACUAUCAUCCUAGAAAAGCAAACAUGGUAGCAGAUGCACUAAGUAGAAAGUCAAGCUUGUCAGCUUUAAGGAUUCUACCUAAACCAUUACAAGAUGACAUAUGCAAGGCAGAAAUCGAGCUAGUAGUAGGAAAAUUAGCUAACAUGACACUUCGUUCAACUUUAUUAGAAAAGAUUAAAGAGGGGCAGGAAAGCGAUUCCAACUUGAAGAAGUUGAAGAUAGAAGCCAACUCAAAGGAGAUGUCAUUUAAAAGUUAGAGAGGGGAAUCAUCUUUUGCAAGGACAGGAUAUGUGUGCCAGACAAUAAAGAUAAAAAAGAAAGAAAUUCUAUUUGAAGCUCACACAACUCCACGUUCACUUUACCUUGGUAUAACAAAAUGUACAAAAACUUAAAGAAGAAUUAUUGGUGGCCUGGAAUGAAGAAAGAUAUAGUGGAGUUCGUGAAAAAAUGUCUCACUUGUCAAUAAAUCAAAGUGGAGCACGAGAGACUAGCAGGACUUUUGUAAUCUAAUCAAAGCCCUUAAUGGAAAUGGGAAGAAAUCACGAUGGACUUCAUCGUUAUUCUUUCAAAAACUACCAAAAUGCAUGAUGCCAUUUGGGUGAUCAUUGAUCGACUUACAAAGUCUACUCACUUCUUGCCUAUUCGAAUGACAUACACCAUGGACCAACUUGCAGAAAUAUAUGUAAAAGAGAUAGUAAGACUACAUGGUGUGCCCAUUUUUAUUAUUUCUGAUCAAGAUGCAAGGUUUACUUUGACAUUCUGGGAAACGUUAUAUAAGGCUAUGGGGACAAGAUCAAAGUUCAAUAUAACAUUUCACCCUCAAACAGAUGACCAAUCAGAAAGAACGAUUCAGACGCUUGAAGAUAUGCUGUGAGGAUGUAUUAUUGACUUUCAAAGAUCAUGGAGCAAGUAUUUACCAUUGGUUAAAUUCGCUUACAACAAUAGUUACCAAGCAACAAUUAACAUGGCACCAUACGAAGCUCUAUAUGGUAGAAAAUGUAGAUCGCCUAUUCAUUGGGAUGAGAUGGGCGAGUAAAGACAUCUUGGACCUGAGUUAAUUACUACCUCAUCUGAAGCGAUCAAGAAAAUACGUCAAAGAAUGCAGGCAGCUCAAAGUCGACAGAAAAGUUAUGCAGAUAAGAGGCAAAAGCCUUUGGAAUAUUGGUGACAAAGUAUUUCUAAAGGUUUCCCAAUAAAAGGAUCAAUGAGAUUUAAGAAAAAAGGAAAAUUAAGUUUGAGGUUUAUUAGGCCAUUUGAAAUACUCGAUCGUGUCGGGAAUGCUUCCUACCGACUUGCCCUCAUACCAUCAUUAUCAAGAAUGCAUAAUGUCUUUCAUGUCUCCACGCUAAAGAAAUACGUCCCCUAUGUGCUAGAUUAUAAACCUUUUCAACUAUAAGGAGACCUAACCUAUGAAGAACGUCUAAUUCAAAUUCUUGAUAGAAAGAUAAAAGAUUUAAGGAAUAAGAAGAUCCCUUUAGUUAAAAAAUUAUGGUAAAAUAACUCAGUAGAGGAGACAACAUGGGAACGUGAGGAAGAGAUGAAGAAUAAGCAUCCUAAGCUAUUCAGUAAGUAAAUUUCGAGGAUGAAAUUUUUAAAAAGGGGGAGGAAAUUGUGAGGUACAAAUUUCUCCUUUAAAUAUAAUAGAUUUUAUUUUAAUCUAACAAGCCCCUAAAAUUUAUAAUGUUUAAUUUUAAGGAAUGAUGACAUAAGUAAUGAUAUAAGAAAUGAUGACAUAAGUGAUGACAUAAGUGAUGAUGUAAGAAGAAGUAUGUAGAGAAAGUUAAGACUUAUUGAAUUUAGUAAGUUAUUUAUGAAGAUUAAUCUCAACCAUUGAUCAAGAGUUGUGGUGGCAAAAUCCUAACCAUCCAUUAACUUUAAGAAAUUCUAUAAAUACCCCCCACCACUUCUCAUUUUCAAUGCAACCUAAAAAUUUAAUUCCGUUAUAUUCUAAGUCAUAAUAACAAGAGUAAAUGAAUCCUUAAUUUAGAAAGAUAUAGAGAAGUCAAGAUCAAGAGGUAAGUAACACUUCAACUACAAUGUAAGGAUAAAAUUCUUUUCAUACUUAAGUUCAGUUUUAACAAUUCCUUUAUAUUAUGAUGGCUAUUAUAGUGUGAUUAGUUAUAUCUUUAUAUGGUCGGCCAUGCCGCCUAAUAUAUGAUGCUAUGGUCGGCUCUGGCACAUAAUAUGUGAUGUUAUGGUCGACUCUGCUGCCUAAUAUGUGAUGUUAUGGUCGGCUCUGCCGCCUAAUAUGUGAUACUUAUACUUAAUUAUGCUAUGGUCGGGUAUGCCGCCUAUACUAAAGACUCUUGUUUUUAAAUAAUGUUGUGUGUUGAUUUUGUUAUGCAUCGAGGAAUUUCAAAUGUUAUAAGUUGCAUUGGAUGCAUGCAUAUCAUGGACUACAUUAUAAAGAAAAUGUUUCAAAAAAUGAAUGUAUGAAAAAUAAGUAGUUGUACUACCAGGUGGCAAAAUUCUAAGGAGGGGAAGCCCUCAAAGCUAAGUUAAAAGAAAUAUUUUGGGGAUGGCGAUAUGUAACACCCAAAAGAUCAACUAAUGAGGCCCAAAGGCAUAUUGUUUAAAGAGUAAAAAUGCCAGCUUUGUAGUGCAAUAUACUUAGGGCGUAAAUAAAGUAGUUUUGUAUUUUCUAAGUUUAUUUUAAGAGCUUAAUAUGGUAAUCCAUAUGCAUAAUAAUUUAUACAUGCAUCAAAGUGUUAUCUUACUUGACAUUAGCUCCCUAAGUCCUUAGAUUGCAGGUAACGAUGAGUAGGGCAAGUUGGCGUCAAGUCCUAAUCAAGACGAAGUGCAUAUGGGCAUAAUAGACCUUGGGAUUUUAUACUGGGCUCAGCUUUGUUUCAAUAAAAAUAAACAUCUUAGUUUUGUGUAAAAUAAAGUUUUUAUACUAAGGAGUUUCUAUAUGACUCUUACUUUUUGUAAGAAUGUUUGUUUGUUGUAAACUUUUAGAAUUCGUAUUUAUAUUAAAAGUAACUAUAUUUUUAAGUAUUUUUAAGUAAAUAAUAUAGUGGAGUGUUGCAUUUUUGCCCCGCUCUACUCUGCUAGCUUACACAAUACUUGUUUUCUAUUUAAUUAAAAAUUAAAACAACAGAUAUCCUUAAAAUAUCUAGAUCGUGAAAGAUGGAUUUCAAAAAAGCCGACCCCCCGCUCUUAAGAGAUGAUCGUUCAACCAAGAAUGCCAGUUUUUUUUCAAUUUAGGAGCUGACAGAGAUAAUCUGGUCACUCUCUCUUUCAGGGACAAACUGUUGGAGUCUCAAAGAACUGUUGCGGAGGAUCUAAUUACAGAAGAUGAUGUAUUGGAGUUUGAGCCCGAAGAGAUUAUGGUUGAACAUGGGAUGACUAUGCCAUCUAUUUCUUUCUCUCUGAGAAUGCAUGCACAAUUGGUUAGGCCAUUGCAGUAUGCGGUGGUGGUUAAAUUACUUGGGCGAUCGAUUCGCUAUCGGGCCCUUUGUAAUCAUUUGGGAGCGUUAUAGAAUUCAACUACAACUUUUAACGUUAUUGAUUUGGAAAAUAAGUAUUUCUUAAUCCGGUUUAAAUCCAAAGAAGACAUGGGUUUUAUUUUAACACAAGGACCAUGGACGAUAAUUGGGCAUUAUUUAAUCGUCUAGCCGUGGUCUCCACAGUUUGAUAGUUUGAAGAAGAAGUGUGAUUCUAUCAUAUUAUGUAUUAGGUUACUUGGGAUGACACUUCACUACUAUCAUAAGCGCAUCUUUAAGAUGAUUGGACAUAAAAUUGGCAAUGUUGUUCGGAUAGAUUAUAAUACGGAGUUCGCGACAAGAGGCAAGUUUGUGAGAAUUGCAGUUGAAGUCUCAUUUUCAAAUCCUCUGGUCUUACAAUUGCUUUUGGAUGGUAAGGUCCAGAAAGUCAAGUAUGAGAAUCUCCCAAUUAUUUGUUUUAGCUGUUGAAAAUAUGGUUACUAUAAUGAGGCCUACCCUGAUAGAGUUACGAGAAAUGAAACAAUGAGAGAGAAGGGGCUCGGUGGUGAGAAAACUACUACCGAAGUUUUGUUAACAUAAAUAUUUUUUUAUUAUUGAUUUUAAUGAUAAUAAACUUGAUUAAGAUUGAUUAAUCUUUUAAAAGCUCAAAAUAGUUUUCAUAUACUUUUAAAUCAUCAUUCUCACUAUAUAAAGACUUUAUAUUCUAUGAAAAUAUUUUUGGUUAUUCUCAUGUUAAUGGUUUCAAUUGAAAAAGCUUUGAGAAUUUUGAUAAUAACAAGUAUUGCUUCAAACCCUGUAAAUGGACCUAUUUGACAAGUUUUAUAAAGUUUUAGGCCAUAGUAUAAUUUUAUAAAAUUUUUAGGGCCAAACUAUAAUUUUACAAAAACAAGUCAUUGUAGCAGUCACUGCAGAAAAUGGUGAUCCCACAUCUUGAUAACGGCUCAUCGACAUCGAACAGAAUCGAAGAUUAGUCUUUGAACAGUAACGGUAAUCCGACAUCUAGAUAAUGGCCAUCCGACAAUUUAAAAAUUUAGUCCAAUGGUCAUAUUGACUAUUCAAAACGGUGAUCCGAUAUCUAGUUAACAGCGAUCCGACAAUGUGCAGAAAGUCAAUAACGGCUAGUUUUCAGCUCCAACUAUAAAUUAACUCAAUCAAAUUCAAACUUUAACGAUUCUAACAAUUAUUAUUGAGCAAGACCUUGAGAAUACAACAUUCAUUAACCUUAAAUUCUUGUAUUCAUCUCAGUUACUCAUACUUUGAAUCUUCAUUUGUAAUCAAACACAUUGUGUGAGAGAGAUUUAUUUUGUAACAUUCUUUAAAAUCAAAUUGAGUGAUUGUAAGUGUUGAGAUACACUUGGGUUAAGAGAUUGGAGAUAAUCUCUUGUUGUAAAGGUUUAUUGACACCUUAGAAGUCAAGUGUAAGCAUUUGAAGCCUUGGAGGCUUGCUUAGUAGAAUCCUCAAGCCCGGAAAGCUUGAAGGCAUGGACGUAGGUGAGGUUGGCCGAGCCACAUAAAAAUCCUUGUGUUUGAAUCUCUCUUCCCUUAUCUUUUUAUAUUGUAAUAAAUUUAUUUGUUAUUGCUUUAAAUUUGUUUUAGAUUUGCAUUCAGCUUUGCUUUAAAAAUUAAUAAUUUUUAGAAUCCCCAUUCACCCCCUCUUGGGUUGCAUAACUAGAAUUUCAUUUGGUAUCAGAGCCUUGUUCUCUUGUUAGGACUUAAUCGUCUAGAGUAAAAUAUUCAUGGCAACCCUAAAUGACUCAAUCUUUAGAGAAGGACAAUUCACAACUAGACUACCGUUCUUUGACGGUAAUGACUAUGCGUAUUGGAAAACUAGGAUGAGAAUCUAUUUGCAAGCUUUAGAUUAUGAAAUUUGGGAAGUUGUUUGUGAUGGUCCAUUCAUGCCUAUGAUUAAAAAUGAAGUAGGAGAUGAUAUUCUUAAACCAUAAAGUCAAUAGAGUGAGUUAGAAAAGAGAAAUAUGUCCUUAAACUCCAAGGAAAUUAAUGCCUUGUUUUGUGCUCUUGACAAGAAAGAAUUCCAUAGAGUAUCUAGUUGUGAGAGUGCCAUUGAAAAUUGGCACAAACUUGAAGUUGUCUAUGAAGGCACAAAUCAAGUGAAAGAGUCGAAGAUUAGUAGGUACACUCGACAAUAUGAGUUGUUACAAAUGGAACAAAUUGAGAGUGUGUACUCUAUGUAUACUAAAUUUACGGACAUAGUAAACACCCUAGAAGCUCUAGGAAAUACCUUCUUAAAUAGCGAGAAAGUUAAGAAAAUCAUUAGGUCACUUCCAAAAGAAUGAAGACCUAAAAGAACUGUUAUUGAAGAGGCCAAAAAUUUAAAUAUUUACCCCUUGAUGAUUUAAUUGGUUCUCUCAUUUUAUAUGAAGAAUAUUUGGCAGCAGAGAAAAGACAUGAGGAGAAGCAGAAAAAUAUUGCUCUCAAAGCCUCAAAAUAUGAGAGUGAUGGGGAGUGAACCGGAUAAUGAAGAGCUGGCCAUGCUAGCAAGGAAGUUCAGAAAAUUUUUCAAGAAAACCAAUGAAUGAAGAAAAUUCAAAAACUUCAAGAACCAAAGGGAGAAGAAAGAGGUAAUCACAUGCUAUGAAUGUAAAAAACCCGGCCAUAUAAGAUCGGAGUGCCCACUUAUCAACAAACUCAAGAAGAAAUCCAUGGUUGCAACUUGGGAUGAUAGCGAUGAAGAUUCAAGUGAUGAAGAAGAGUCGCAAGAAGUAUCAAACCUAGCACUCAUGGCAAUAGGAGAUGAUGAUAAUCUCAAUGAGGUAAGUAAUCCUACUUAUGAUGAAUUGUGUGAUGCUUUUAAAGAAUUGCAUAAUGAGUUGAUGAAGAUUGAUAAAAAGAAUGUAUGUCUUAAAAAGGAAAUGGUAGAGCUCAAAAAUGAAAAUGAAUCUCUAAACGCAAAAAUUACAUGCUUAGAAGUAGAGAACAAAACAUUGCAUGAUAGAAUUGCAUUAUCAAAUAAGAAAGCUAACACCUCACAUGAGCAUUUAGAAUCACACAUAGAUGAUUUGAAAAAUGAAAAUGAAACGCUUAAGAAAAAAGGAAAUGAGUUAAAUGAGAUUGUUUUAAUAUUUACAAAUGGGCAAAAGAUGUUGGAUAACAUGCUCAAUUCACAAAAAUGUGUGUUUGACAAAGGGGGUAUUGGGUAUAAGCCAAACUUGAAACAAAAUAUUAUAAGAACUACUUUGUGAAGAGUACAUCUAGUAGCAAUCAAGUUGUAUGUAAUUUCUAUAAUCAAGAUGGUCAUAUGAAAAAUAGGUGUUUAGUAAAAAGAAAUACAUAUUAUGGUAUGAAAUGCAUUUGGGUUCCAAAAUGAACCAUUGCUAACUCUCAAGGACCCAAAAAGCUUUGAGUACCUAAAACUUGAAAUUUUCUCUACAGGGCAUGAAGAAGAAGAAAAAUAAAUGGUACUUGGACAAUGGUUGUUCAAGGCACAUGAUCGGAAACUAUACAUGGUUCUCAAGCUUCACCAAAAUUGAAAAUAGUGGAGACGUAUCUUUUGGAGACAACUCAAAAGGCAAAAUUCUCAGAAUUGGAAAUGUUGGUAAAGUUUCAUCAACUCUAAUUGAGAAUGUAUGUUUGGUUGAGAACUUAAAACACAACUUGAUUAGUAUUAGUCAAUUAUGUAACAAAGGAUAUAAAAUUAUUUUUGAUAAAUUUAGUUGUGUCAUUCAGAAUUCAUGUGAUGGCAAGAUCUUAUUUGUUGGAAAUAGAUGUGGUAAUGUUUAUAUAAUUGACAUAGAAUGUGCAUCUACUCUUGAUAAAUGUUUUUCGGCAUUGCAUGAUGAUAGUUGGUUAUGACAUAGAAAACUAGGACAUGCAAGUAUGGAUUUGAUUUCAAAAAUUUUGAAAAAUGAUUUAGUCAAAGGUCUUCUAAAAAUCGGUUUUCAAAAGGAUAGAAUUUAUGAAGCUUGUCAAUUUGGAAAAAAAAAUCAAAACAUCUUUUAAAAACAAAAAUCAUAUUUUCACUUAAAAACAACUUCAACUUCUUCACAUAUAUUUGUUUGGACCUUCAAGGUAUGCUAGCUUGAAUGGAAAAUAUUACACUUUUGCAAUUGUUGGUGAUUUUUCAAGAUACACAUGGGUAUUAUUCUUAACUAAUAAUGAUGAUGCUCUUGAUGCUUUUAAAGUACUUUGUAAGAAAAUUCAAAAUGAAAAAGGGUAUGGUAUUGUAUGCACUAGAAGUGAUCGUGAAGGCAAGUUUGAAAACUAUGCAUUUGAAACCUUUUGCAAUAAUCUUGGCAUUGUGCACAAUUUUCAUCACCUAGAACUCCACAACAAAAUGGAGUUGUUGAGAGAAAGAAUAGGUCAAUUCAAGAAAUGGCUAGGACUAUAUUGAAUGAAAAUUCUUUGCCUAAGUAUUUUUGGGCCAAGGCCGUCAACACCGCUUGUUAUGUUUUAAAUCGUGUGUUGAUUAGAUUUAAUCUUAAUAAAACUCCAUAUGAGCUUUGGAAAGAUAGAAAACCCAAUAUUGGUUAUUUCAAAGGUUUUGGAUGGAAAUGUUUUAUUUUGAACACAAAAGAUAAUCUUGGCAAAUUUGAUCCAAAAUCUAAUGUUGGUAUUUUUCUUGGAUAUUCAAAUUCAAGUAAAGCUUAUAGAGUUUAUAACAAAAGAACUCUAAUUGUAGAAGAAUCUAUGCAUGUUACAUUUGAUGAGUCUAACCCCUCCUCUGUGGAGAAAGGAAUUACUUAUGAUGAUGCAGAUGGAGAGUUACAAGAAGAAUCAUCAAAGGAUAAACAAGAGAAUGCUCCACAAAGAAAUCAAGAGAACGGACAAGAAGAGCAAACAAAUAUGGAACAACAUGAAGGUACUUCUCAAGCACUCCCCAAGUAGUGGAGGUAUAUUUCUUCACAUCCUAAGGAUGUAAUUUUAGGAGAUCCCUCACGAGGUGUUACAACUAGAUCAUCACCUAGGAAUGCUUGUGAGCAUAAUGCAUUUAUUUCUCGAAUUGAACCCAAAUCCUUUGCGGAUACAGAAAAUGAUGAAUCUUAGAUUAUGACAAUGCAAGAGCAGUUAAAUCAAUUUGAGAGAAACAAUGUGUGGGAAUUAGUUCCUAAACCGAAACAUCAAUCUAUCAUAGCUACUAAAUAGGUUUUUAGGAAUAAGAUGGAUGAAUCCGGUGUGGUUAUAAGGAAUAAAGCUAGAUUAGUUGCUCAAGGUUACAACCAAGAAGAAGGAAUUGAUUUUGAUGAAACAUUUGCACCCGUAGCUAGAUCAGAAUCAAUUAGAAAAAAGAGAGCCUAUGGCUGACUAUUCAAUUUUUGAGUAAGGGUUUCAAUAUUUGAUUGGACAAUUAGAAGGAGAAUUAACUCUGUUUUCUCAUGAAUUUGGAAUGUAAGUUCUCAGCAUAGUCCUCUACAUUCUUACUAGUCUUGAUUUUUAUUUUAUCCUUUCGGUGGCUGUUAUUUAAAAUACUCAUUUGUUAGAGAGAUAGAUAUUAGAGUGUUAUUGUGAGCCAAAAUUGUUGAGAUUUUUGAUGUUGUUAAUAUCUAAUGUUAUCUAAAGAAGAAUUUGUGUUUUAAUCCCAUUAUUUAUUUAGUUGAACAUUAUAUUGGACUAUAAUCUCAUAGUGUUUUUUCCAAUUUGGGUUUUCUAUGUAAAAAUUUGUGUCUCUUCUAGUUGAUUUAUUACUUUGGAUUGUAUUGCUUUAUUUUCUGCGUAUUAAUUUGUGAUGCAUAUUCCAUUUUAAGCACACAAGGAGGGAAAAAGUUUGCUUUCGCUUUCUUUGUAGUUGUUUGUGUGAAUUCUUUUCCUAACAUUAUAAAGGGUUGAAUGCUUUAUUGACUUAUUUUCUUAGGGUACAGGACGGAUCAUGUAUUUAUAUCAAGAAUAGAGGAAUUAUAUAUGGAAGAAAUAUUUUUCUUGAAUUAUUGGGAUUCAUUAUAAACUUAGACAUUAGCUAGCUGUUGGCUAAGUUACGAAGAAAAUCUAGACUUGAAUGAUAGUUAGCUAUCAUUUUUUUUUUUCGCGAGUUUGCAUGUCACAAGAUUUUGUGAGAUGAUUCCAUUGCAGGCCUUUAGUAGAGUAAUACAAAUUGCCAUAUUUGUAUCAAAUGGUUUGUUACUUAGGACCAGAUGUGACUAUUUGAAAUCCAUGAAUUCCACAUGUGGUGGGCAAUGUAUAUCAACAUAGUUGUCUUUUAUAAGUAGUUUAAUAGUAUUUUAUACUUUAAUUAAUUACAUACUUGUGUGUAUUAUUUAGUUAAUAAUGCUUAGGACCAGAUGUUUCAAUUUUACAAAAUUCAAAUUUUAACUAGAAUAAAAAAAAAUUAGGGCUUGACUCACUUAAAUGUAAUGUAACAUUUAAAUAAACUCAUGAGUCAACCUAUAACAGCUCAAUUGUUUCACUUAUUGUAAUUUUUAUUAUUUUGCGUGACAAUUCAAGCGUUGUUGUAUGUAACAUAUGAUGUGACGUAGCAUGACCCUAAAAAAUUAUAUAUUACAUAUUACAUCACUGUACUAUUUUGACAAUUUUGAUUCCAAGUCCAAAUGAAAGUAAUAUUUAAUUUUUUUAGCUGAAAUAUAAAUGAGUUUUAAUUUUUCUAAAGUAUAAAUACAAAUAUUUGAGCAAUAUUUUUUUAAAUAUCUGAAUAUAAAUGGCUUCUUUUUAUUUUUAUAAAUAUAAAAAUAUUAAACAUGAUUAUUUGAUAUGUAUAUCCUUUUAAAUAAAAAAAUUAAAUUUUAUAGUUUAGGGAAUAAGUAUAUUUUAUAGAGAUAGUUUUGGAAUAUAUAACAUUUACUUCUCAUUUAGACCUUUUCUCUAUUUUGGUAAAAAUUAUAAAAGUUUAUUUAUUAUAUUUAAAUGUAAAUAUUUGAAAAUCAGAGAUAAAUUAGAAACAAAAAUGCAAAUUUUUUUAAAAAUAUGAAAUUAAUAGAAUUUCAGACUUCAAACAUUUAAUAAACAAGCCUUUAGAUUUUAUAAAAUUCGGACAUGCGGACUAGUUACACUUUUGUAUGUAUCAUUUACUGUCACACCUUUAAUUUUAUUUUGCGAUAUUAUAGAGAGAGCCCAAUAUUUUUUUUCAAAUGAAACGAUCAACACAAUUUCACAAAUUGAACGAAACUUACUGUGAGAAGAUGUUAUUAGAUCCAGAGGCUAUUGCAUUCUUGUUUCAAGUCAAGCUCUUGAUCUUGAACAAACUCCAAAUCAGGCAUUCUGUCAUUUCAUGAGUUCAUUUUCCGUUUUUCCGAAAAAAAAUGAUGAGAAAAAAAAAUCAUAAGGUAUUUUUUUCAAAGUGACUCCAAACAUAAAUUUUCCAUUAUUUUCGUUUUUGCGAACAAGUUUUGUAUGUUACAAUUUUUUAUUAUACCUUUAUUAUUUUCUCAACAAGCUACCAGUUGUUUCUUCCAUAAUGAAAUGGCAAUAUAAAUUGGUAACGUAAACACUUUUCUAGAUGCACAAAAUUUUUUAGACAAAUCUAAAAUUCUGUGUGACUAUUUCUAAACACAAAAGGACCUGUGUAACAAUUUUUGAAUUCUGAUGUCAAUGUCUUUUUCUUUUUUCUUUUUUUUUUGAAGAAAAGGAAAAAUAGUUUUUUAGAAAAACAUAUGUUGAUUUAAUCAGAGUCAUCUUGGUUUCAAUAAAUAAUUAAUCUUCUAGUAUAGUAGUCUUGCUGUCAGUGCAAUGUACUGAUUAUUCAAUUCACUAUGUACAAAUUACAAGUCAUCUUAACAUUAUGAACCAAAAAAAAAAAAAAAAAGCACAUCUUGUAAAGCACACUUGUAGAAAAAUCAUCAAAAAUGGUUCCAUGAUCCAGAUUUACACAAAAUCAAGCUAAAAUAGACAUGGCCAAACUUCCACAAGAUAUUUUUACUGAUACACUAUCGCGGCUACCUAUUGAGGUCCCUUUUUAUGGUUUAAGUGUGUAUCCAAGACAUGGUUUUCUUUAAUCUCUAAUUCUCAAUUUGCCAAAUUCCAACUCUAACAAGCAAUUUUAAAAGUCCGGUACCAGUGGUAAAAUUUGUAGAGUCUUACUCACGACUUCUCCACUUCAAUCCAUCGAUUAUAGAGCAUUUGGAUUUGGUGAUCUGAGAAACGGUAAUGUAACACUGCAACUUGGUUAUCCUGGGAAAAAAAUUCCUGAAGAUGAUGCUACUAUUAUAGGAUCCUGUAAUGGCAUGGUGUGCAUAUAUUUUGAUUCCACCAACAUGGUCGAGUUUCCAGGGAAUUCUCAAUGCCUGAUCCUUUUCCUGAACAAGAUGAUUUUUCAAAUGGGUUUGGUUAUGAUAUCUUUGGUUAUGAUUAUAAACUGAUUAGAUGUUUUAUUUCAACUAUUGGAAAUGGAAACGUUUCCAGGGAAACUAAACUUCUUGUUUUUUUCUUGUUUUUUUCCCCUGAAAAACGGUUCCUGGAAAGAAAUUUAGUACUUUCUUUGGAGUGCUGAUAUCUUCAGAAUAGGAGUUCUGUCAAAUAACCUACUGCAUUGGCUUGAAAUGCAAAAAGGAGUUGUGUCAUUCGAUCUGAUAGAAGAAAGAUUCGAAGAGAUUUUGUCUUUGCAAGAUCAUACUGACCAAAAUACGUAUGUUGUAAACUAGAGAAAUUGGAGAGACCGCCUUAUCAUUUUCAACGAUCAAAAGGACCGUAGUUUCGGGGCCUGGGAAUUGAAAGAAUCACAUGGACUAGAGUGUUCAGCAUCUCAAGUAAGAUAUUUCCUAAAUAUGAAUAUUAUCCAACUCUAGUAGGCUUUACUAAAGAGCAUAAAGUUUUGGUGGAGAUUGAUGGAGGGAAGUUAGUUUUGUAGAACAAAAAAGGAAAAGACAUUCAGAAGUUUUGAGAUAUAUGAUGAGUGGCAUUGAUUUGAAGGUAUCAUGUGCGAGGAAAGUUUAGUUUCUCCAAUUGUUGAUGAAGCAAGCAAGUUUUAGAAACAAUGCUCUAAGGAAAAGGUAAUAAUGACAUUAUCAGUUUUGGCCUUUGACUUUUUUUUUUUUUUUUUUCUGAACACUUAUCACUUGCUGCAUCUGAAAUGUGAUUCAUAAUGGCAGUGGCAUCUUUACAACUCUUUAAAAAUAAAAAGCGAAAAAAUAGAAAAGAAAAUUGCGAUAUUCAUAUUCUACCAUGUCGUAUAUUCAUUUGCUUUUUCUGAUCAAGAUGCAUGAGCCUCAAGUGGGUGCAUUUAAGGUUGGGUUUUAAAGUUUAUUGAAGCACUCAACAACUCAUAAAUGCAAUUAUUGCCACAAUAAUGGAAGUAUCUUUCAAAUUUUUAUUUUGAUCAAAAGUCAUCUGGAUUUAAUCUAUAAAUAAAAUCUGCAUGUGCAUAUAGUCUCAGUGUCUCUAAUGGCUGAGAUUUAAAAACUAUGUCCAUCUCUGCUUAGGUGUCGAUGCAUUGACCAAUUAAAUCAACCAUAAAUAGAUUAUUAGUAAGGUGUGGAUCACCCCUUAUGAACUCAACAUCUCUCCCAUGCUUUGUCAAUAUGGGAUUCGCCUAGGGUGUUAUAUACACCCCCUUAGGGAGUCAGCGUCUUUGCUGAGAUUUGCCCCACUAUCGCUCAAGAGGACACGCAGAAUCGCUCUGAUACCAUAAUGUCAUGACCUCGCUCAUACCUGACAAAAUAUUGUCUGCUUUAAACCUUAUUAAUGCCCGUGUGUGUUUGUUUAUGGGGCGCCUCAAAGCUAUAAAUUUCUUAUCAUUUCUUAUCUUUUUGAAGCUAUCAAAAGAUACACUAUAGUUAGCAAUAAGAAUAGUGCUGGCUAAGUGUUGGCAGGAGAAAGAAUCUAGAGAUAAUUUUUAAUAAAGAUGGUUAAUUUAGAAAUUUUAUAUGCGUUUAGUGAAUGAAUAAUGCUGCAUGUAUUUAAAAUAGCACAAAAUUUAAUACAAAAGCAUAAAAAAUUAAAAAAAUUCUUGUGUUGUGGUGAAUUCUUUUCUUGUAAUGAAUUUUUUUUUUUUUUCAGUGAUGGCGUACUAUUUUUUAUACUAUCUUUUUUUUAUAUAUAUUGGUAUUGUCAGCCAACCGAUGAAUAAAUUGUAAAAUAUUAAUGUGAAAAAUCUCUGCACCUCUUCGAAUUUUAUUUUUUAAAAGAUAAGGAGAUAAAUGAUUUCAAAUUAAUCUUUUAACUCUCUAACUUUUGUCAAAUUUAAAUUUGAAUAGCCAACAAAAUAAAAUUAAUUGAAAACUCUACCUCCGUACUCCGAGUGCGAUUAUUUUGACUCGAAUUAAUGCCUUAAAAAUUUGAAAAACAGACCAGCACAUUGAAUAUAUAAAAUGUGCCUGUAUAUACAUCACACCCUGCCAAUCACGGUGUUGUAAUAAUUGAAUCAUUGAUCAGUAAAUAUAUCUUAUUGUCCUUUUCUCAUGCGCAUGCAUCAUUACGAAGUCAUGCUAACAGUGUUGUUAGAUUGUAACUUGUUAGAUUAUAACAAAUCAUAUUUGCAAAUAUUCACAUGAGGAGUCAAACAUGCUUGCAUAAAGUUAGUCCACAUUUGCGAGCAAGCGUGAUUAUAUAUAAUGUGCUUCUCUAUUAUAGUGUAUGAUCAAUCAGGCAAGCUUAAUUUAAUUGAUCAUCAGUAUCUAUGGAUGCGAAUCAAGAUCUAGGAGCAAAAGAGUUGUUUCAAGGCCAAGCUCAACUGUAUAAGCUCAUGUUUAAUCAUUUAAGCUCGAUGUCACUCAAGUGCGCGAUUGAGCUAGGCAUAGCGGAUAUAAUUCACAGCCACGGACGGGCCAUCACUCUUUCUGAGUUGGUCUCGGCACUUGAUAUUCAGCCUACAAAAACGACUGGUUUAUUCAGGCUCAUGCGCUUGUUAGUUCACUCGGGCUGCUUUAACAAAACCAAAGUCAAUGGACAAGAAGAAGCAUACGGGCUCACAGCUGCUUCUACUCUGCUCAUCAAAGACAAGCCCUACUGUUUAUCACCAACUGUUUCAGUAUUUCUUGACCCAUGUUUUGUCGCUGCAUUUCAGUCUUUAGGUAGUUGGUUCAAAGGGACUGAGCUCACGUUGUGGGAAACUGUUCAUGGAAUCAAGUUCUGGGAAUUUAUGAAUCAAAACCCUGGAAUAAACCAGCGGUUCAAUGAAGCAAUGGCCAGUGACACUGAAAUACUGACAAGCUUUGUUGUCAAAGCCGAGUGCAAGCAAAUCUUUGAAGGGUUGGGCUCAUUGGUUGACGUAGGAGGUGGCAACGGAUCGCUUUCCAGAAUCAUCUCUGAAGCAUUCCCUGGCAUCAAAUGCACUGUACUCGACCUCCCGC
Molecule: long non-coding RNA, 31990 nt
Filed under: Citrus x clementina
Lineage: Eukaryota; Viridiplantae; Streptophyta; Magnoliopsida; Sapindales; Rutaceae
Description: Citrus clementina (C. clementina) long non-coding RNA (CCLE_LNC000258)
Source: RNAcentral